This 497-nucleotide ribosomal RNA is filed under the name uncultured bacterium. RNAcentral's name for it is "partial 16S ribosomal RNA". It matches the Rfam family "Bacterial small subunit ribosomal RNA", at positions 28 to 507 of the family's 1533-position model. The record is from RNAcentral.
GAUGAACGCUGGCGGCGUGCCUAAUACAUGCAAGUCGAGCGAACAGACGAGGAGCUUGCUCCUCUGACGUUAGCGGCGGACGGGUGAGUAACACGUGGCUAACCUACCUAUAAGACUGGGAUAACUUCUGGAAACCGGAGCUAAUACCGGAUAAUAUAUUGAACCGCAUGGUUCAAUAGUGAAAGACGGUUUUGCUGUCACUUAUAGAUGGAUCCGCGCCGCACUAGCUAGUUGGUAAGGUAACGGCUUACCAAGGCAACGAUGCGUAGCCGACCUGAGAGGGUGAACGGCCACACUGGAACUGAGAAACGGUCCAGACUCCAACGGGAGGCAGCAGUAGGGAAUGUGGAGUAAUGGGCGAAGGCUGGACGGAGCAACGCCGAGUGAGUGAUGAAGGUCUCCGGAUCGUGAAACUAUGCUAUUAGGGAAGAACAAAUGUGUAAGUAGCUAUGCACGUCUUGACGGUAGUUGUGCAGAAAGCCGCGGCUAACUACGUG